AGGGCGUAUGGUGAAUGCCUUGGGAAUAGGAGACGAUGAAGGACGUGACUACCUGCGAUAAGGUUCGGGGAGCUGGAAGUAAGCUUUGAUCCGGACAUGUCCGAAUGGGGAAACCCGGUGAGAUUAAUCUCUCAUCAUCCUAUAAUGAAUAAAUAGUUAUAGUGAAGGUAUACCUAGGGAAUUGAAACAUCUUAGUACCUAGAGGAAAAGAAAGCGAAAGCGAUUCUCUUAGUAGCGGCGAGCGAACGGGGAACAGCCCAAACCAGAUUUAUCUGGGGUUGUAGGACCAUAAUAGUAGAGUUACAAAACUUGUUUAUAGUAGAAAUGGUUGGGAAACCAUGCCACAGAGGGUGAUAGCCCCGUAUAUGAAAUAGACAAGACUCGAAAUGGUAUCCUGAGUACGGCGAGACACGUGAAAUCUUGUCGGAAUCAACGCGGACCACCGCGUAAGGCUAAAUACUACCUAUUCACCGAUAGUGAACCAGUACCGUGAGGGAAAGGUGAAAAGCACCCCGGGAGGGGAGUGAAAGAGUACCUGAAACCAUAUGCCUACAAGAAGUCGGAGCCCGUUAAUGGGUGACGGCGUGCCUUUUGUAGAAUGAGCCGGCGAGUUAUGAUAGCAUGCAAGGUUAAGUAGAAAAUACGGAGCCGUAGUGAAAGCGAGCCUUAAUAGGGCGUUUAGUAUGUUGUCAUAGACCCGAAACCAGGUGAUCUAGCCAUGAGCAGGUUGAAGUUGAGGUAAAACUUAAUGGAGGACCGAACCGACGUUCGUUGAAAAGACCGCGGAUGACUUGUGGCUAGGGGUGAAAUUCCAAUCGAACCUGGAGAUAGCUGGUUCUCCCCGAUAUAGCUUUAGGGCUAGCGUCGAGGUUAGCAAGUUGGAGGUAGAGCACUAAAUGUAUGAUGGCCUCACCUAGGGGUACUGAAUGCAAUUAAACUCCGAAUGCCAAUUUUGUAUACUCGGCAGUCAGUACAUGGGUGAUAAGGUCCAUGCACGUAAGGGAAACAGCCCAGAUCAUCAGCUAAGGUCCCAAAAUUUAUGCUAAGUGUGUAAGGAUGUGAAGUCGCUUAGACAGCUAGGAGGUUGGCUUAGAAGCAGCCACCCUUUAAAGAGUGCGUAACAGCUCACUAGUCGAGUAACUUUGCGCCGAAAAUGUACCGGGGCUAAGCAUAAUACCGAAGCUAUGGGUUUUGUAUUUAUAUACAGGGCGGUAGGGGAGCGUUCUAACAGGGAUGAAGGUAGACCGUGAGGACUGCUGGACUGGUUAGAAGUGAGAAUGCCGGCAUGAGUAACGUUUGAGGGUGAGAAUCCCUCAUGCCGUUUGACCAAGGUUUCCUGGGCAAGGUUCGUCCACCCAGGGUUAGUCAGGACCUAAGGCGAGGCCGAAAGGCGUAGUCGAUGGACAACAGGUUGAUAUUCCUGUACCACCAUAUAGAGCGAUGGAGUGACGGAGAAGGAUAGUAUAUCCCGGUUAUUGGAUUCCGGGCUAAGCACAAAGAGGGUAAGGUUGGCAAAUCCGCCUUGCAUAACCUUGAAGUGUGAUGGGGAGCGAACGGUUCGCCUAGUAGCGAAGUAUAUGACUCCAUGCUUCCAAGAAAAGCUUCUAGUACUAUUUAUAUGGUGCCUGUACCUAGAACGAACACACGUGGUCAAGGAGAGAAUCCUAAGGCAAGCGAGAUAACUGUAGCUAAGGAACUCUGCAAAAUAACCCCGUAAGUUAGCGAGAAGGGGUGCUCAUAGUAAUAUGAGCCGCAGUGAAGAGGAAGGGGCAACUGUUUAGCAAAAACACAGCUCUCUGCAAAGUCGUAAGACGACGUAUAGGGGGUGACGCCUGCCCAGUGCUGGAAGGUUAAGGGGAUUAGUUAGCAUUAGCGAAGCUUUGAACCGAAGCCCCAGUGAACGGCGGCCGUAACUAUAACGGUCCUAAGGUAGCGAAAUUCCUUGUCAGGUAAGUUCUGACCCGCACGAAAGGUGUAAUGAUCCCUUCGCUGUCUCGGC
Molecule: ribosomal RNA, 1999 nt
Filed under: Ormyrus nitidulus
Lineage: Eukaryota; Metazoa; Arthropoda; Insecta; Hymenoptera; Ormyridae
Description: bacterial LSU rRNA
Rfam family: Bacterial large subunit ribosomal RNA
Source: RNAcentral